GUGCUGACUUCGGCAGCACAUAUACUAAAAUCCAAACAAUACACAGAUGAUUAACUUGCCCCCUGCGAAAGGAAGACACACAAAUUCAUGAAACAUUCAGUAUUUUU
Molecule: small nuclear RNA, 107 nt
Organism: Octodon degus (degu)
Lineage: Eukaryota; Metazoa; Chordata; Mammalia; Rodentia; Octodontidae
Source: Ensembl